RNAcentral lists this microRNA (23 nucleotides) under Prunus persica (peach). RNAcentral describes it as "microRNA miRNA_294". The record is from RNAcentral. Lineage: Eukaryota; Viridiplantae; Streptophyta; Magnoliopsida; Rosales; Rosaceae.
UCCAAAGGGAUCGCAUUGAUCUA